Molecule: long non-coding RNA, 1008 nt
Filed under: Vulpes vulpes (red fox)
Lineage: Eukaryota; Metazoa; Chordata; Mammalia; Carnivora; Canidae
Description: lncRNA (ENSVVUG00000022495.1)
Source: RNAcentral
GUUUAUGCAAAAUGAACAUAGUUUGAUGCAGAAGGAAACCAAUGUGGUGGCACAAGAUAGAAGAGGGUGAUGGGGCAGGAGAUGAAAAAGCAGACAACACUUGUUUGAAGUUCUCCUCUUGGUCUUGACAUGCCAGCAUCAAGUCAGGCGUUUAAGGAACAAAAUAAAAACAACAAAUGGGAGCUUUCUGAGAGUGACACUAUUCCUGUCUUUAGAUCUCUAUUAAAAGAAUGUGGUGUUUUCCAUUCGAUUAGACAACAAAGACUAUCUUCUUCUUGCACCUCUGAAGCUGUUGUCAGAGUGCUCCUGUGGCUGCUGAGCCCUGGCAGUCCUCCUCAGCAUCCUUUACUUUAUUUACUCCAUUUCCUCAAUGAGAAGAAGAGAAAGAAAAAGGAGAAUCACAACUCCGGAAAACUCAAAACCAAUUUGAGAAAACUUAGUAUAAACUGAGAAAAAUUCUUACAAAAUGAUUUCUCAACUCAAGGUUCCAAAACACGGGAAGGAAGAUGGAAUGACAGUAGAUGGUGGAUCAACAGUUGUCAUUAUUUGUGAUGUCAGAGAUUUGAAAAGCCAAUCAUCUUGUUGCCUGAUGUGCAAUUUUUAACUUAUUAUACACACGGUAAUUGGAAAGUAUAAGCACAUGUCCCACAGAGUGACAUUUUUGAGAAGAAAAUUGUGUGACCAUAGAAAGGUCAUUUAACUAGUUUAAUAACUAGUUUAAACUAUGUAUCAGUUUACUCCUCUAUAAAAUGAGAAAUUUUAAAAAGAGUAACAGAUGAUCUUUACAUUUUGAAUCCUCCAAUGGAAGGUUACUUUUGGAAGGGUCCUGGAACCAGGAGUGACAUUCAAUUUUAGGGAUUCUAAACAACAACAAAAAAAUAAUAUAUAAUCUAACCUGCCCAAAUAUUUUCAACGUGACCACUUACUUGAAAAAGAAAGGACACUAGUAACUGUAGCAAAGACUGUCAUGAGAAUAAAUGACCCCAAUUUCAACGAUACUCUCUAAAG